Molecule: ribosomal RNA, 255 nt
Filed under: uncultured bacterium
Lineage: Bacteria
Description: partial 16S ribosomal RNA
Rfam family: Bacterial small subunit ribosomal RNA
Source: RNAcentral
UACGAAGGGGGGCUAGCGUUGCUCGGAAUCACUGGGCGUAAAGCGCACGUAGGCGGAUCUUUAAGUCAGGGGUGAAAUCCCAAGGCUCAACCUUGGAACUGCCUUUGAUACUGGGGAUCUCGAGUCCGGAAGAGGUGAGUGGAACUGCGAGUGUAGAGGUGAAAUUCGUAGAUAUUCGCAAGAACACCAGUGGCGAAGGCGGCUCACUGGUCCGGUACUGACGCUGAGACGCGAAAAGCGUGGGGAGCGAACAGG